GACGAACGCUGGCGGCGUGCUUAACACAUGCAAGUCGAACGGAAAGGCCCUGCUUUUGUGGGGUGCUCGAGUGGCGAACGGGUGAGUAACACGUGAGUAACCUGCCCUUGACUUUGGGAUAACUUCAGGAAACUGGGGCUAAUACCGGAUCGGAGCUCCUGCUGCAUGGUGGGGGUUGGAACGUUGCGGCGGUUGGGGAUGGACUCGCGGCUUAUCAGCUUGUUGGUGGGGUAGUGGCUUACCAAGGCUUUGACGGGUAGCCGGCCUGAGAGGGUGACCGGCGACAUUGGGACUGAGAUACGGACCAGACUCCUACGGGAGGCAGCAGUGGGGAAUAUUGCACAAUGGGCGGAAGCCUGAGGAAGCAACGCCGCGUGCGGGAUGACGGCCUUCGGGUUGUAAACCGCUUUCGCCUGUGACGAAGCGGGAGUGACGGUAAUGGGUAAAGAAGCACCGGCUAACUACGUG
Molecule: ribosomal RNA, 468 nt
Filed under: uncultured bacterium
Lineage: Bacteria
Description: partial 16S ribosomal RNA
Rfam family: Bacterial small subunit ribosomal RNA
Source: RNAcentral